UACGGAGGGUGCGAGCGUUGUCCGGAAUCACUGGGCGUAAAGGGCGCGUAGGCGGCCUGAUAAGUAGGGGGUGAAAUCCUGCGGCUUAACCGCAGGGCUGCCUUCUAAACUGUCAGGCUAGAGCACAGUAGAGGCAGGUGGAAUUCCCGGUGUAGCGGUGGAAUGCGUAGAGAUCGGGAAGAACAUCAGUGGCGAAGGCGACGUGCUGGGUUGCACCUGACGCUGAGAUGCGAAAGUGUGGGGGAGCAAAACGGGG
Molecule: ribosomal RNA, 256 nt
Filed under: uncultured bacterium
Lineage: Bacteria
Description: partial 16S ribosomal RNA
Rfam family: Bacterial small subunit ribosomal RNA
Source: RNAcentral